GAACAUUUAAAAAAUAAUUUUUUAAACAUUUUAGAACAGAAUUCACAAUACCGUGAUUUUUUUAUCCAAGGUUUUAUACCAUCAGAAUCAUAUACAGGCCCAUGCCUACUUUAAAUACAUUUCAUGAUGUUAGCUGACUUAGAUCACAUAUUGUGUCACCUACAUGAUGUAGUUAUAAAUGAUUUAUUAUACCAAUCAGUGUAAAUUAAUCAAAUUUCUCUGUUUAUUGCUCUGAACUCCAUCAGUGAAAGACAAAGACAAAGAGUUUAUUGAAGGACAGUGAGAAGAUGAGUGAUCCAGAACCCUGCAGAAUUAAACAGGAAGAGACUGAAGAACUAAUAGAAUAUGGCAUGCUGUUUUUUUAAUGAAGUACAGUUAAAACUUUAAAACUGUCCAGUAUGUGGUGGUAAAGGAGGAGAGCGAAGAACUGAGUGAAGAUGAGGAGAAACAUGUCAAGAGUGAAAAUGAAACUCACACAAACACUGAACAUAGGUGCACCUGCACUCAGUGUGGAAAGAGUUUUGGGCGAAAAUACGGUCUCAUAGUUCACAUGAGGAUCCACACUGAAAAGAAACCUUACAAGUGUUCACGCUGCGACAAGAGAUUCAGUAAGUCGAAACAUCUGAGAGCACACAAGAAGAU
Non-coding RNA from Danio rerio (zebrafish), 642 nucleotides. Lineage: Eukaryota; Metazoa; Chordata; Actinopteri; Cypriniformes; Danionidae. The record is from Ensembl.